This 408-nucleotide ribosomal RNA is filed under the name uncultured bacterium. RNAcentral describes it as "partial 16S ribosomal RNA". It matches the Rfam family "Bacterial small subunit ribosomal RNA", at positions 28 to 526 of the family's 1533-position model. The record is from RNAcentral.
GACGAACGCUGGCGGCGUGCUUAACACAUGCAAGUCGAACGAAGUGGCGAACGGGUGAGUAACGCGUAAUCAACCUGCCCUUCAGAGGGGGACAACAGUUGGAACCGACUGCUAAUACCCCAUACUGAAGGAGGGGAUUGCGUCGGAUUAGCUAGUUGGAGGGGUAACGGCCCACCAAGGCGAAGAUCAGUAGCCGGUCUGAGGUGAUGAACGGCCAACACGGGAAGGAGAAACGGCCCAGACCUCUACGGGAGGCAGCAGGGGGGAAGCUUCCGCAAUGGAGGAAAGUCUGACGGAGCAACGCCGCGUGAGUGAUGAAGGCCUUCGGGUUGUAAAGGUAUGUUAAUCGGGACGCGGUACCGGAAUAGAAAGCAACGGCUAACUACGUGCCAGCAGCCGCGGUAAUAC